RNAcentral lists this ribosomal RNA (301 nucleotides) under uncultured bacterium. RNAcentral's name for it is "partial 16S ribosomal RNA". It matches the Rfam family "Bacterial small subunit ribosomal RNA", at positions 509 to 807 of the family's 1533-position model. The record is from RNAcentral.
CAGUCGCCACGGUAAUACGAAGGGUGCAAGCGUUACUCGGAAUUACUGGGCGUAAAGCGUGCGUAGGUGGUGGUUUAAGUCCGUUGUGAAAGCCCUGGGCUCAACCUGGGAAUUGCAGUGGAUACUGGGUCACUAGAGUGUGGUAGAGGAUAGUGGAAUUUCCGGUGUAGCAGUGAAAUGCGUAGAGAUCGGAAGGAACGUCUGUGGCGAAGGCGACUAUCUGGGCCAACACUGACACUGGGGCACGAAAGCGUGGGGAGCAAACAGGAUUAGAGACCCCCGUAGUCCCUGUCUCUUAUAC